GACGAACGCUGGCGGCGCGCUUAACACAUGCAAGUCGAGCGAAGCGGCGGUCGGGUGAGUAACACGUGAGUAACCUGCCUUAGACAUUGGGAUAGCCUCGGGAAACCGGGAUUAAUACCAAAUGGUCUAAGAUGGACUCGCGUCCCAUUAGCUAGUUGGGAGGUAACGGCCCACCAAGGCGACGAUGGGUAGCCGGCCUGAGAGGUUGAACGGGCACAUUGGAACUGAGAAACGGUCCAAACUCUACGGUAGGCAGCAGUGGGGAAUAUUGCACAAUGGAGGUAACUCUGAGGCAGCGACGCCGCGUGAACGAAGAAGUCUUUCGAGUCGUAAAGUUCUUUUAUAUGGGAAGCGGUACCAUAAGAAAAAGCCCCGGCUAACUACGUGCCAGCCGCCGCGGUAAUUC
RNAcentral lists this ribosomal RNA (406 nucleotides) under uncultured bacterium. RNAcentral describes it as "partial 16S ribosomal RNA". It matches the Rfam family "Bacterial small subunit ribosomal RNA", at positions 28 to 526 of the family's 1533-position model. The record is from RNAcentral.